GCAUUGGAAUCGCUGAACCGUGCAGUGCUCGCUGCCAUGGAUGCCACCAAGCUGGAGUAUGAGAGGGCCUCCAAAGUGGACCAGUUUGUGACACGCUUCCUGCUGCGGGAGACGGUGAGCCAGCUGCAAGCCCUGCAGAGCUCGCUGGAGGGGGCGUCAGAUACCCUGGAGGCCCAGGCCCAUGGCUGGCGUCCUCGGCCCUGUGAGCCUCACUUCCUCUAGGUCAGACGCAGAGAGCGUGGAGGCGCAGAGCAGGCUCUGCGGCAGCCGGCAGGCAGGACGCCGAGCCCUGAGGAGUGUCAGCCGGUCAUCCACCUGGUCCCCCGGCUCUUCUGACACAGGGCGCAGCUCAGAGGCCGAGAUGCAGUGGCGGCUCCAGGUGAACCGCCUCCAGGAGCUCAUCGACCAGCUCGAGUGCAAGGCCCCCCGGCUGGAACCCCUGCGUGAAGAGGACCUGGCCAAGGGGCCUGACUUGCACAUCCUCGUGGCCCAGAGGCAGGUCCAGGUGGCAGAGGAAGGCCUGCAGGACUUCCACCGAGCCCUGCGCUGCUACGUGGACUUCACAGGGGCCCAGAGCCAUUGUCUGCAUGUGUCCGCCCAGAAGAUGCCGGAUGGUGCCUCCUUCACCCUGUAUGAGUUCUGGCAGGAUGAGCCCUCCUGGAGAAGGCACCAGCAGUCGCCUGGCAGCAAGGCCUUCCAGCGCGUCCUCAUCGACCACCUGCGGGCCCCGGACACCCUCACCACUGUGUUCUUCCCAGCCUCCUGGUGGAUAAUGAAUAACAACUGAGCCAGACCUGCACACGCCGAGGGCCCCGGGACCCUGCCUGCCUCCCUCUGGAGCCUUCUGGACUGGCCAGCC
This 859-nucleotide small RNA is filed under the name Pan troglodytes (chimpanzee). RNAcentral describes it as "processed transcript". Lineage: Eukaryota; Metazoa; Chordata; Mammalia; Primates; Hominidae. The record is from RNAcentral.